GCUCGUUCUAUAUGGUCAGUCAUCCAAAUAGCUUCUGGCUUGUAUCCUCCUUGUAGUAUUGCUAAUGUAUUUGGCAACUGGUUACACGGGAUUGAUCACAGGUUUAGAACUUUUCUCAGGGUGGGAGCGCUUGCCGUUAUUUGGUCGCUUUGGCUAUGUAGAAAUGAUAAGGUUUUUAACGAUAAAAGUACUUCCCUGAUGCAGGUUCUCUACAGAUGUACCGGGACUCUUCGUUUAUGGUCCUCUCUACAACGCAUGGAGAAUCGAGACCUGUUUACGGAGGUGUGUACACGAUUGGAGGCUACGGCGAGGGAUACUUUUACCCAGCAUGGGUGGCAACGUGAUCUUAGGAUUGAUCCCCCUCCGCUUUAG
This 372-nucleotide ribosomal RNA is filed under the name Triticum aestivum (bread wheat). Its description in RNAcentral is "partial small subunit ribosomal RNA". Lineage: Eukaryota; Viridiplantae; Streptophyta; Magnoliopsida; Poales; Poaceae. The record is from RNAcentral.